UGCGGGAACUGGGAACGAGAAUGCACGCGCCCGUAAGCAAUCGGGUUUGCGAUCAUUCUCGAGCAUGCGUACUAACUUUUGGCGCCAUUAUCGAACGUUGGCCGUUGGGAUUUGCUUCGACGAAGGAUACGGAUAAAAUACAAGCGUAAAACCUCUUCGUUGCAGUAUAUUUUGGACAAAUAAACAACUUAUUAGGAAAAUACGUUCAAGAAACGUCUCGUGCUGUACUAGCCUAAUUCUGGCAAAUGUUAUUUACUUUCUUCACCUUCGUGUCGACGACUGUUGUUUGCUGAUGGCCAAAUCACGACAGCGGACAUCAAUUAUUCAAAAUAUGUUCUUAUAGCUUCACGUUUACGAUACGAAACACGUUUGAAUGUAAGAUUAUCUAUUUUUUGUAUAUGUAGGUUCUAGUUGAAAGUGACAGCGACGAUGAAAAGAGUGCACACAACAUUGAAAUAUCCAGUUCACUACUAGCUCGAAUCCUGCGACAUAUCACUUGCUAGUAGCUCAGUCUAGUUUAACUUUUCCCAAUCAAGAGUCAUCUCCUGAAUCAGGCAUACUGGCAACACUGGUUCAUUUGAUAAUGUAAGUUUUUAAACUGGUAUUUUAGAUUAUAGCCUCGGUCAAAUGAGGAUGAAAGUCAUGCAUGAAUUGCUUAUAAAUACACAAAGGACAUUUCAAGUUCCAGAUGAACAAAAUAUUAUUAAAGCUUUGAUGAGUGUUCCAACUAUGUUUCAACUUAAUUAAAAUACUCUCAUCCUCGUUUGAUCCAUAAUUAUUUGUUGAUUUUACUCGAUACUAAAUAGUGAAACAUCGAAUCCAGAUAAAAUCUUAUGCAGAAUCCACUGUAAUUCCGAGCUGUAAUCACAUAAUUAUAUAAAAGUCGUUUCAGUAGCAGCAAAAGCCAAACUAAAACCAACUAGGAUUAAUAGGUUUAGCUUUUAGGCCGAGAAUAAUACACGAUUGACAAUUUUGUGGCUGAUUGAUUAAUUAAUUAAUAGUAUACUGUAUAUCGAUGUUGUUGUUGUAUACAGGACAUCUGACUUACAUGUCAAAUUAAUAGUUGAAUCUAUGAUUAUAUUGAGCAUGGCAGGUUUGACAUUUGAAACAUUGUUGAUGUUAAUAACCCAUUGAGUCGCAUUGCGCCCUAAUGCGCACUAAGGCCCUGUUUACAUGAGACCGGGACGAAGUCAAACCGGAAUGAAAAUUGAAAUUGUCAACAUGUUUACAUGACACCGGUACGAGGAUCACAAAAUCUUCAAUUUAUUCCCCUUGCCAGGCAAUUUUCUUUUUCAGGUGGCUUUUGUUAGCAUGUGUUGUUCCAAUGUCAAGAUUACAGCCGAGACCGGUCUGAAAUGUAUUUGUGUUUAUAUUCAUCCCGGUCUGAAUUCAUGCCGGUCUGAAUUCAUGCCGGUCUGAAUUCAUGCCGGUCUGAAGUCAGUCGGUUCAGUCCAGAAGGCGGAAUGACUUGAGACCGGUCUGAGUUAUUUUCGUCCCGGUCUCAUGUAAACAUCUAUUAUAGAUAAUACUAUGACCGAAACGAGAUGGUCCCGGUUUGACUUCGUUCCGGUCUCAUGUAAACGGGGCCUAAGUAUUUAUUAUUUUACUCUGGCUAUCUAACGCUAGGCAACUUUACUUAUCAAGGGGAGAGCACUGGCGGUUAAUGUGUUAACUAGCCUAUCUGCCCAUGUUUAUAGUUAACCCAUUGAGUUGCAUUGUGCCCUAAUGCGGCCUAAUUUAUUAUUUUACUCUGCCUAUCGCAAGACAAUUUUACUCAUUAAGGGCAGAGCGCUGGCGCUUAAUGUGUUAACUAGCCUAUCUGCCCAUGUGUCUAGUUAACCCAUUGAGUCGCAUUGCGCCCUAAUUUAUUAUUUUACUCUUUCUAAUGCCAGACAAUUUCACUCAUUAAGGGGAGAGCACCGGUGCUUAAUGGAUUAACUGGCCUAUCUGCCCAUGUGUGUUGUUAACACAUUGAGUCGCAUUGUGCCCUAAUUUAUUAUUUUACUCUGUCUAACGCCAGAUGAUUUCACUCAUUAAGGGGAGAGCACUGGUGCUUAUGGGUUAAUAUUGAAAAUAUAGAUCAACAUUUGUCAAAACUCAUGACUUGUGCAAUCAUUUCUGUAAUAAUUAAGAUAUUAAAAUACCAAAUAUAAUGCCUUAUGGCUUAUUUCAAAUAGGGAGAUGCUAUGUGACUAUGUCCAUUGAAAUUUAGUGGAUUUGUUGUACAUGAAAUAAAUGCUAGCCAUAAACAUAUUCAAGUCAAUCGAAGAGAAUGUAGAAUUGCACUUUACAUAAAAUUCCCUAGUUAUUGUACAUUAAUGCAAAAAAAAAUGCAUUUGAAAUGGAAUAUAUUGUUUUAAUUUUAUUUCUAUGGUUUGUACUAUGAUAUACAUGGGCUAUACACUCUUUGGGAACCCGCAGGGCUGUUGGCAGAGCAUUUCCAUGAUCUGGAACUUCAGUCCUAAACACGAUGUGUGGGUGCGAAGAUGUUGUGUAGGAACAGAACUGUACAGAUUAGAAAUAUGAUUACUGAUAUUUUCCAAAGAAAAACUAUUAAUAUAUAGAAGAGGAAAGAAAGAGGCAAUAAAUAGCCCAAAGUAUCUGUUGUACAUUUGACAUUUAAAAAUGGUAGGCUUAUUAAGGAUGAGAUACAGAGAAAAACAGUAAUGCAGAACUACAUUCUCUUAAAUUGUCAAAAUUAAACGCUACCAAUCUUGGUCUCGUUUCAAACUUGAAUAAAGAAAAGUCUAAAAAUAUAAAAACUAUAAGAACAGAUCAGCUAAAUCCAGUUAUAAAAUUAAAUGACGAAGGAAAGCUGUCAUUUUAGGAAAGUGUUGUGUUGGGGUGUGUAAACUCAUGAGGUUACAUGUUUCUGGUGAAUCUGUGCUUGCUGCAGCAAAAAUGUAUUAAUCGUUUGUGAUAUAAUUCACAAGAUGUCUAUUUUAACCUGUCGGUUGCCAAACAUCUUAAAUUAAAUAUGGAAUUUGUUUUGUCUGACCAAGAUAUAAUGAAUACCACUAGUGACAUGAGUAUAUCCAAUUAAUAUUUAACUAGAAAUAAAUGCAUGCAGCAACCCCUAGCCUAUAUUUUCCAAACAUUGAUUUAACGUGAACUAUUAGCAAUUGGCCAGCACUGAACGCAGGCUCACGUUGUGUCAAGUGUUGUCAAGGCAACAUAAUGUCACAUUAUAUUUUAAUUUUUUUUUAAUAAUUUUGCAAGUGUUCAUACCACAGAAUCUACCAUACAUAAUUUUAAACAAAUAGAUAGGUGAAGUAAUUCAAACAAAAUGAUUUUGAACUUUAUUACUCUACUCUGUCGAACGCCUAUUCUACUCGUAAAGGGGAGAGCCCUGGUGCUUAAUGGGUUAAAUAAGAUCGUAUAGUUAUAUGUACAUCAUGUAUUAUGUUUUUAUGCAGUCUCCCUGAAUCACUUGUACCAGGCUAUGGAAAUUCAUGUUUCCAAUUUUGUAUUUAUUUUUCUUAUGAUACAGUAUACUGUAAAUUUGAAUAAUAUUUGUGUGCUUAUAGUGAGUUUAUUUUUAGGAGAGUUUGUUGCGAGGCAGCAUAUAUUUUGAUAUUUCAAAAUAUUACUGUAUAUUGGUAUGUUAUACUUAGGGGUCGGGUGUGAUAUACUUUUUCAGGUAUUUUGUGUCUGAUGUAUGUAAGAGCUUUAUUAUUGGGUUUCUUGGUGAGACCUUAUAUCUUAUGUGUCCUAUAACCCUCUGUAAUUGCGGAUUAUUGCAUACAUUCUAAUUGUAUUUUUUUUGUAGGAGUCCGAAGAUGCAAAUGAUACAAUUUCAAACUUAUCACAACCCAUAUUGUGGCCGUUGGCAGCGAACUAGAAUACGACUAGAAACUGUCAAUCAUACGUUAUCGAGGGAAAGGAUGAAAAUUCCAUAACAAGCAACAGUUGUUUUGAUGCAAUUAUCGCCUUAUUGGCAAGUUUUUACAUCUUCAAUAUUGAGAGUACUGCCACACGAAGAGCAUCUUGUCUGCCUUGCAGACUAUAGUAGUGCAUGGGCAACACAGAAAAUGGCAUACAACUGCCAAUGAGGAUCACAGCCCUCUUCAAUGACUUGUCAUGACUCAUGAAUAUUAGUACUAAGUAAUUUUACACUUUUUGAGAGUUUUGUUGACAUAUGCUAACCCAAGUUAAUGUUAUUGAUGGAAUGUGUGUAUUGUCUCACAUCUCACCGAACUGUGGUAAUGUAUUAGAAAUUAUUCGUAUUGCGUUCACGUUAACAACCGCGCCUGCUAUUGCUAUCACAAGUUGAUUACUCUUUAAAAUUAGAAUUGUAAACUUUCGGAGCCAUAUGGCAUAUAUGUACGAAUCUUUUGAUGGUUCCCACAUUUCGGUGAGAUCCAUAAUACUGACUACUGUGCAUGUAUAUUGUAAUUUUAGUUAUAGUAUUGUGUUUAUAAUA
RNAcentral lists this long non-coding RNA (4423 nucleotides) under Paramuricea clavata. The record is from RNAcentral. Lineage: Eukaryota; Metazoa; Cnidaria; Anthozoa; Malacalcyonacea; Plexauridae.